UUGGAGGGCAAGUCUGGUGCCAGCAGCCGCGGUAAUUCCAGCUCCAAUAGCGUAUAUUAAAGUUGUUGCAGUUAAAAAGCUCGUAGUUGAAUUUCGGGAUCAGAGUGUCGGUCGUGCCUCGGUACGCACUGGUAUUAUUGGUUCCUACCUUCUGAAGAACCGCGAUGUCAUUAAUUUGGUGUCGUGGGGAAUCAGGACUGUUACUUUGAAAAAAUUAGAGUGUUUAAAGCAGGCUUACGCUUGAAUACAUUAGCAUGGAAUAACGAAAUAGGACGUUCGAUCCUAUUUUGUUAGUUUCUAGGAUUGACGUAAUGAUUAAUAGGGAUAGUUGGGGGCAUUAGCAUUCAAUUGUCAGAGGUGAAAUUCUUGGAUUUAUUGAAGACUAACUACUGCGAAAGCAUUUGCCAAGGAUGUUUUCAUUAAUCAAGAACGAAAGUUAGGGGAUCGAAGACGAUCAGAUACCGUCGUAGUCUUAACCAUAAACUAUGCCGACUAGGGAUCGGAUGAUGUUAAUUUUUUAAUGACUCAUUCGGCGCCUUACGGGAAACCAAAGUGUUUGGGUUC
RNAcentral lists this ribosomal RNA (564 nucleotides) under uncultured Glomeromycotina. Its description in RNAcentral is "SSU rRNA". It matches the Rfam family "Eukaryotic small subunit ribosomal RNA", at positions 548 to 1114 of the family's 1831-position model. The record is from RNAcentral. Lineage: Eukaryota; Fungi; Glomeromycota.